GGCGGGGCCAGUUAGGUCGAGGGUCCCUGGGAUCGUCGGGUCAGGCCUUGGGCUAACGUAGGCACUCUCGCAGUUCCUCCGCCUUCAGGAAGGUCUUUUUAGCAGGGGCCUUACGGGUGCAUGCUUCGGUCCUGGAGGACUUAGGCUAGCCUCCUCUCCAUCAGCGCCACCCGUCUGGGGCCCGAAAGGAGGGAGCUUUCCCUCUGUCCCCCAGCCUUUGGACUGUCACCAAACAAGCCAUUCGUUCACCAAAUACUUUUUAAGCGCCUACCAUGUGCCUGACAAGGGAUAUGUAACGGUGAGAAAAACUAGGUGUGGUCCAGGCCCUUCAGGGACUCAGGGGCUCGUGGAAGAAGUGGAUAUUGAAGUACUUAUCACACAAAGGAGGAUAAAAGUACGAUAGCGAUAUCUACCACGAAGCUGUUGUUCCACACCAGAACCAAAUGAGCGCAAGAUCUGACAAAAAAAAAAGUCCCUGUAUCCUGAGAUGGAGUCACCUGAGAAUCCACAGCAAGUCCUAACCAGGGAUGGGUCUGGGUGAUUAAGGAAGAUUGGCUUCAGAACUGGGCCAGGGGCACUGCUUUGCUUUUGCUGUUUUGAUCAGCUCUCUGCCUGCAGGAGACGAGGAAAACCAAUGGGAACAGCUGGGGAAACUGAGUUACAGAGCUUUUCUGCACUGAGUCAUCAGGAGCAAAUGCUAGAUCAGGCCAGAGUGCAGUUGACGCAGAGCAGGGGAGCCCUGAAAUGGAGCAUAGUGUGUCCGGAACUGGUGGGUUCUUGGUCUCACUGACUUCAAGAAUGAAGCUGCGGACC
This 813-nucleotide long non-coding RNA is filed under the name Homo sapiens (human). Its description in RNAcentral is "HSALNT0318180". Lineage: Eukaryota; Metazoa; Chordata; Mammalia; Primates; Hominidae. The record is from RNAcentral.